CCCUUAGAUGUUCUGGGCUGCACGCGCGCUACACUGAAGCGUUCAACGAGUAUUCACCUUGCCCGGGAGGGUUGGGUAAUCUUUUGAAAACGCUUCGUGAUGGGGAUAGAUUAUUGCAAUUAUUAAUCUUCAACGAGGAAUUCCUAGUAAGCGCGAGUCAUCAGCUCGUGCUGAUUACGUCCCUGCCCUUUGUACACACCGCCCGUCGCUCCUACCGAUUGAGUGGUCCGGUGAGGCUUCGGGAGAGCUAAAUGGAUUGUGUUUCACAAACUAUUUGGCUUGAACUUAGUCAAACCUUACUACUUAGAGGAAGGAGAAGUCGUAACA
Molecule: ribosomal RNA, 327 nt
Filed under: uncultured eukaryote
Lineage: Eukaryota
Description: partial 18S ribosomal RNA
Rfam family: Eukaryotic small subunit ribosomal RNA
Source: RNAcentral